This 497-nucleotide ribosomal RNA is filed under the name uncultured bacterium. RNAcentral describes it as "partial 16S ribosomal RNA". It matches the Rfam family "Bacterial small subunit ribosomal RNA", at positions 28 to 507 of the family's 1533-position model. The record is from RNAcentral.
GAUGAACGCUGGCGGCGUGCCUAAUACAUGCAAGUCGAGCGAACAGACGAGGCGCUUGCUCCUCUGACGUUAGCGGCGGACGGGUGAGUAACACGUGGAUAACCUACCUAUAAGACUGGGAUAACUUCGGGAAACCGGAGCUAAUACCGGAUAAUAUAUUGAACCGCAUGGUUCAAUAGUGAAAGACGGUUUUGCUGUCACUUAUAGAUGGAUCCGCGCCGCAUUAGCUAGUUGGUAAGGUAACGGCUUACCAAGGCAACGAUGCGUAGCCGACCUGAGAGGGUGAUCGGCCACACUGGAACUGAGACGCGGUCCAGACUCCUACGGGAGGCAGCAGUAGGGAAUCUGCCGCAAUGGGCGAAAGCUUGACGGAGCAACGCCGCGUGAGUGAUGAAGGUCUUCGGAUCGUAAAACUCUGUUAUUAGGGAAGAACAAAUGUGUAAGUAACUAUGCACGUCUUGACGGUACCUAAUCAGAAAGCCACGGCUAACUACGUG